UACAGAGGGGGCAAGCGUUGUUCGGAAUUACUGGGCGUAAAGGGCGCGUAGGUGGCCUUCUAAGUUGAACGUGAAAUCCCUGGGCUCAACCCAGGAACUGCGUCCAAGACUGGGAGGCUUGAAUCCGGGAGAGGGAUGCGGAAUUCCUGGUGUAGCGGUGGAAUGCGCAGAUAUCAGGAGGAACACCGGUGGCGAAGGCGGGUCUCUGGGCCGAUACUGACGGCUGAGGAGCGAAAGCGUGGGGAGCGAACAGG
RNAcentral lists this ribosomal RNA (254 nucleotides) under uncultured bacterium. RNAcentral describes it as "partial 16S ribosomal RNA". It matches the Rfam family "Bacterial small subunit ribosomal RNA", at positions 524 to 776 of the family's 1533-position model. The record is from RNAcentral.